UUAAGUUCAGCGGGUAUCCCUACCUGAUCCGAGGUCAAAAGUGAUAAAAGACUUGUGGAAACUAGCGUAUAGACUUGAAUCGCGACUUGUGCUGCGCUUCAAAACCAAAACACUGGCUGCCAAUUACUUUGAGGCGAGUCCCGCCACUAGAGCAAGGACAAACACCCAACACCAAGCAGAGCUUGAAGGUACAAAUGACG
Molecule: unclassified non-coding RNA, 200 nt
Filed under: Pleosporales sp.
Lineage: Eukaryota; Fungi; Ascomycota; Dothideomycetes; Pleosporales
Description: partial internal transcribed spacer 2
Source: RNAcentral